AUGUUCUUUCAUAUAAGCACUGUGUCAAAACUGCAGACACCAGGAUCUGGUCUUGGUUUUUGUAACAAUGUUAGCAGAGUACAUGCAAGAAGAAAAGUAACUGCACUAGACUGUAAAGACUUGGGUGGGCUUCUCUCUUAACGUCCAGUGUCCUUUGUCUUAAGAUUUGAUGCAAUGUGU
This 180-nucleotide small nucleolar RNA is filed under the name Suricata suricatta (meerkat). RNAcentral's name for it is "Small nucleolar RNA SNORA81 (ENSSSUG00005006036.1)". It matches the Rfam family "Small nucleolar RNA SNORA81". Lineage: Eukaryota; Metazoa; Chordata; Mammalia; Carnivora; Herpestidae. The record is from Rfam by way of RNAcentral.